This 481-nucleotide ribosomal RNA is filed under the name uncultured bacterium. Its description in RNAcentral is "partial 16S ribosomal RNA". It matches the Rfam family "Bacterial small subunit ribosomal RNA", at positions 28 to 507 of the family's 1533-position model. The record is from RNAcentral.
GAUGAACGCUGGCGGCGUGCUUAACACAUGCAAGUCGAACGAAGCACUGUAUUUGAUUUCCUUCGGGACUGAUUAUUUUGUGACUGAGUGGCGGACGGGUGAGUAACGCGUGGGUAACCUGCCUUGUACAGGGGGAUAACAGUUGGAAACGGCUGCUAAUACCGCAUAAGCGCACGGCAUCGCAUGAUGCAGUGUGAAAAACUCCGGUGGUAUAAGAUGGACCCGCGUUGGCUUAGCUAGUUGGUGAGGUAACGGCCCACCAAGGCGACGAUCCAUAGCCGACCUGAGAGGGUGACCGGCCACAGUGAGACUGAGACACAGCCCAAACUCCUACGGGAGGCAGCAGUGGGGAAUAUUGCACAAUGGGCGAAGGCCUGAUGCAGCGACGCCGCGUGAGCGAAGAAGUAUUUCAGUAUGUAAAGCUCUAUCAGCAGGGAAGAUAAUGACGGUACCUGACGAAGAAGCACCGGCUAAAUACGUG